Molecule: long non-coding RNA, 292 nt
Filed under: Daucus carota (carrot)
Lineage: Eukaryota; Viridiplantae; Streptophyta; Magnoliopsida; Apiales; Apiaceae
Description: long non-coding RNA (DCAR_LNC007679)
Source: RNAcentral
CAUCAUUUUCAUGCGGAGUUUUGGUGAUCUUAUGGCCAUUUAAAGAUCAUGACAGAUUGGGACUCCAGACUCUAAAUUUCUCUUGAGAACUUUUUCUUUCAUUAAUUGUAUUCUAUGAAUAAAUUGCUCAGACUUGCACGGACCUUGACCUUGCUGUACCUUGUUAUUAAUUGCCAGGAUGAAAUUUUUGCAAUACUGGUUGUUCUAUUUCAGAUUAUAUAUGCAUCUUUUCUUGUUUGGUUUGUAUAUUUCCAUUGUCAAGCAAGGGUUGCUAGCAAUCACUUUGGAUCAA